RNAcentral lists this long non-coding RNA (7164 nucleotides) under Fragaria vesca (wild strawberry). RNAcentral's name for it is "long non-coding RNA (FVES_LNC002539)". The record is from RNAcentral. Lineage: Eukaryota; Viridiplantae; Streptophyta; Magnoliopsida; Rosales; Rosaceae.
AAUUUAUUUAUUUAUUUUUUUAAUUUUUUUUUUAAGGAAGCUAAAAGCCUAAAAGGCCAAACAAAAGAAAAACAAAAAAAAACUACAGACUAAAUAGCGGAGCAAAACCCAGUUUUUCGUAAGGCUGGCAUUGGUAGGUAUAUCAACUAUAUUUUUCAAUACCAUAUACCAACCAACUUAAAAUUGGUAGGCAAAAUCUUGUACCAAAACCAACCGUCAAAGUUGGUAUACCAACUUAGUUGGUACGGUUGGUACUCGGUUGGUACGGUUGGUAUUGGGUCUCUACCAAGUUUAAAUUGAGGCCCAACAAACUGAAAGGCCCAGCUCAUUUAAAUCCUUUUUUUGGGCCUAUACCAAACUUCUAUCAAUUAUCAAACUAUUCAAAGUUCAAACACAUUCAAAGUUUCACACAUCAUAAUAUCAUAUAAUUUCAAAUGCAUAAACAAGCAAGAUCAAAACUUUAAAAGUUCAAAUGCAACAAGCCAACAACAUCCAAAGUCUUAUAUAGAAAAUUAAACAACACAUGUCCAAUGAAAACACAAAAGUUCAGAUUAGCAGGGAAAGAGUGAUGUUGUGAGGCCGGGAGAGUGCUAGACUGCUAAACACCUCUAUCUUAAUUAAUUAAAUUCAUCAACUAUUCAACUAACUGGACCUGUACCCCGAGCAAGUUUAAGAAGCAAGCUAUAUAUAGAUUCAAACAGGUUGUCUAUCUCUCUAUCUAUCUCCUCAUUCAAACCCUACCCUCUUCUUCUUCUCUCUCAUUCUCUCUAACUUGAACAAAAAUCAACAUUGCUACCCAAUUCACUCCUACUCUCUAACUAUCAAAAGGUCCAUUCUUUCUUCCAAGCUAUCGACAUUUCAUAAUCUACCUUCUAAUCAUCCAACUGAUGAAUUCAUAACUCUAAAGCCAAUGCAAAAUAAUCGAAACAAGCACCGAAACACAACAAAUCAUAUCUCAAAUCCAAAUCACCAUCAAAAUGUUCACAGAGCAUAGAACACAAUCAACACAUAGAUUGAUAGAUAACAAUCAUAACACAUAGAUUGAUAGAUACACAUAGAUAAUAGAUUGAUAGAUACAUACGGAGAUUCGAGGCUUGGUGCUGCGAAGUCGACGGCGAGUUGAGGCGCUGCCCUUCGUCGAAGAGUCGAGACACUGCCCAGCGUUGCCCUUCGUCGGAGAGUUGAGGCGAUGCCUAGCGCUACCCUUCGUCGGAGAGUCGAGGAGCUGCCUAGCGCUGCCGAGUCGAGGUGGCCGAGGUGCUGCUGAGUUAACGACAAGAGAGGCGAGGUGGCUAGAAGUUGAGUCGAGGUGGCGGAGCCGAGGAGGUGUUGCGAAGUUGAGGUGGUCGAGCCGCGGGGGUGCUGCGAAGUAGAGAGAUGAGGCGAGACGCGAGAGAGACGAGCGUGAGAGGCCGAGACCUGAGAGUGACUGUGAGUUAUUGAGAAUAGAGUCAACUGACUCAACUCAACUAACUAACUAACCUAGGUUAGAUCCACAGUCCACAGAUCAACGGCUUAGAUUAAUAGUUUUAAUCUUUUCUUUUUUUUUAAUAUAACUCGGUUGGUACAUGGUAUACUGUGUUUUGGGAAAAUCUGUACCAUGUACCAACCGACUUCGAAAACUUGGUACGGUACUACUGUACCGAAAACUCAGUUACCAACUACUUGGCAUACCAAUUUGUUUGGUACGGUUGGUACGUGGUUGGUUGGUAUCGCCAGGGUCCAAAUUGCCACCCCUAGUUUUUCGUGCUCUAGUAACACCAGCAAGAAUGUCGGUGUACAUAUUGUCCUAAAAGAGAUUUUUUUUUUAGUUACAGAAGGGACCUAAAAGGCCUAAACAAAAGAAAAACAAAAAAACUACUGACUAAAUACUUGAGCAAAGCCCAGUUCUUCAUGCUCUAGUAACACCAGCAAGAUCAUCUAAAACAACUUGAGCAACAUGAGCAGGGAAAUCAACAAAAAUGAUCAGACCAAGAUCAUGGUUGAUACUAUCCUUGGCCAAGGCAUCACCUACCAUAUUGCACUCUCUGAAAAUGUGAUUAAGCUUUGCAUUCUGCAAAUUAGCCAUCAUUGUAACACAAUGAUGAAUCCCAUUAUCAAACGUAAGCAUGAGUUGAACUAGCACAAUCACAAGGUUGAGCUAAAAGAGAAAUUUUAUUCACACAUGCACACUUCUAUUUUUUUAUAAUUCUUUUUAAUACAAUUUUACCCUUUUUCAUGAAGAUGAACAAAAAAAAACUAAAUAAAUAAACAAAUUUCAGUUUGGAUGCUAAGCUUUUAAAGAAUUAUAUAUAUUUACUACUUUGAGAAUCGGUAGUCUGCAAGCUUCCUAAUGAUAUCAAAUUUUCAUACUAUCUCGACUUAAUGAAAGUGUUGGAGGUUAUUUGAGUGAGAAAAUCAGUAAAAAAGAAAUUACAAAUCUGAAAUCAAUUUGUCUCCCUUGAUUGUUUGUUAAGCUUCAUUAGCUUACCAAUUGAUUUUAGUUGAAAAAUUGAUAGUAUUAAUCAUAGAGAUGAGAAUACAGAGUGAUAGAUUACGGAGCAACAACUUGCUUUGAAUUGGUUUUGAAUGAAGAAAGAAGAUGAUAGGUUAAAGAGUGUGUAUAAGUAAAAUAAAGAGGGCAUAAGAGGAAGUUUGGGGGAAAAAAAUUAGAUAAAAAAAAUAGAUGUGUGUAUUAAGUAUAUAAAGGUGUGUGAAGAAAAUUUUUCGUCCUAAAAAUAUACUAAUUUUUAAUUUUUUUAUUCAAGAUCACGGCAUUCCAAAGGCUUUCUAGACCUAAGGACUAAUCUGCUAGGGGCCCGGACAGCCAGCAGGGCAUUGCAGCCCCUCCUCUGGCCACUUUUGACAGUGUCGUGAUUCGAACCUAAGUUAGGGAGCACACCUAACUAGGCAAUAACCACUAGACUACUUUCCAGUGGUUAAAAAUAUACUAGUUAGCAAAGAGUUUUUGUUUUCUAUAGUUUAUGUUUGGAAAAACUCAUAUAUCACUAGCCAUGGUUAUAAGCAAUUGUGUUGCACCAUAAGACUCUUGGAUCAUCAUGGAGUUUAAGAAAAAGAGAAACAAAGAGCAAAAUGUGUUGUUAACAUGUUAUAAACUAAAGAAAUAAGAGAGAACGAUAGAGAGAGAUAGAAUGUGAGAAGAUGAAGAAGUGUAUCAUUCAUUCUCAUUAGACCAUUUUAUACAGGAGUAAUGUUUACAACAUAAGGACAUAAGUACUGAGCAUUUACAUAGACAUCCACAUAAUUAUAAUAUUUACAACAUUUAUAGAAAUGUAACAAACUGGAUUUUUUUUUAAAUACACAAUACUCAUAAUACCCAUGUAUGUCAUCAUAUCGCUAUGCCUUAUGGUCACGUAUUGAGCAUCCCCUACAUGAGAAUCUCUCGAGUAUUUUAACACGUGAAAAAAAAAAAUCAGAAUUUGGCCUAUGUCCCACCUUCUUAUUGGAAAUCGGUUCUUGAUUUCCUAAAUUCUCAAGAAUUUGAUUACGAAUGGGAGAUGUUUUUAUAAAUCAACACCAUUCGAUAUUUAUACCAACUCAUUUUUUCUCACAAUUCAUUUAUUCUUGAUUCAUGGUUUUAUUUUCAUGCCAAAUAAGUAAACGUGUCAUCAGUCUUUUUUAUUAAACACAUAUGACUGAUCAGAUUCACAUGUUCCUCAUAGUCCCUUAAAAAUGGUCAUUGAGCGAGCAUGCUCUCUAGUUGCUCAUAAAUAAUUUCACAAUGAUUUACUAAACUCUCAUAAAUACUUUCUUAAGUGAAAAUUAUCGACACUUUCAUGGACCGGUUUAGCCCCUAGUAGGCCCAAAAAGCAGUACCAAAUAAGUGAGGUGUUUGUAUGGUGUCUUAGGAUGAGCUUCUUGUUGCCAACCAUUCAUCGAAGAUAAAACGACAUAUCCUAAGUUUGUGUGCCAUUACUCUUUUGUUUCAUAACAGCCUUUGAGGUUUCAGAUAACCCAAGCAAACCUCACACAGACACAGAAGAGAGAUAACGUAGCAAAACCAUGGCACUGAGAAUGUGGGCUUCUUCUACAGCCAAUGCUCUCAGAAUCUCUGGUGGUGCCUCCAAAGCUCAACUCUCCCCUGCAUUCUCUCUUUCCAGAUGCUUUUCCACUGGUACUACUUCUCACUUUCUUUAACUUGGUCAACGGCUUUUUUCUUUUGGCUUCUUUUACUUUUAGUGCUAAGGGUCAACUAGAAGUGUGGUCUAGAUUAUAAAGUGCCUAGCUUUUUCACUGGAAUCAAAGAAUGCUGCUAAUGCAUGUAUGCUUAGUCUCUCUAAUGUGUAGGUAUGAAAAUUUAGUACAGGCAAUUUCAGAGCUGGAUUAAACUAACGGUUUUGGGUAUGUAUUCUUUGGUGGGAUUUGAAAGAAUUGUAACUUUUUGGGAUUUAUGUUGGAUUUGCAGUUUUGGAAGGGUUGAAGUAUGCAUCUUCACAUGAAUGGGUGAAGCAUGAAGGUUCAGUUGCUACAAUUGGUAUCACUGACCAUGCUCAGGUUAGUGUUAUGUUUAGAAACAAGUGAUGUACUAUAUAUGAGCUUUUUUUUCACAAGUCAGAACCUUAUUAUGGUCUGAAAAGGAAGGAAGUCACCAAAUGAUGUAGAAGUGCACAUUGCAGAAUCUAAUCUACUAGGAAUAAUUGAAAUUCAGAGCGGGCAUAUGUUCGGAUAUUAUGUGAUAAACUUUUGGUAAGCCAGUUCGGCGAGUGAUGUGAUAUUUGAAGUAGCAGAUAGAGUGACUAGAUGAAGCUUUUUUUGUUUCAGGACCAUCUUGGUGAAGUGGUGUUUGUGGAGCUGCCAGAACCGGGUACUGUAGUCUCCCAAAGCAGCAGCUUCGGAAAUGUUGAAAGUGUGAAAGCAACCAGUGAUGUAAAUUCCCCAAUCUCUGGUGAGGUUGUUGAGGUUAACCCGAAGCUUAGUGAAACACCUGGUUUGGUAAUUGCUUUUCCUUAACUUCACACCUGUAUUUCCUUAAAAAUGUGACAUGUUAAGUUGUUAGACUCUCGAUCUGAACCAGGCUACUAAAUAAAAUUACAAUUUGACAACAUAACAUAGUGGCAUGUUUGUUUGACAACAUGUUCUGUUGUUAACACUCAUUUGGUGUAUUUUCUGAUGAAGAUCAAUACAAGCCCAUAUGAAGAUGGAUGGAUGAUCAAGGUGAAACCCAGCAAUCCAUCAGAACUAGAAUCCUUAUUGGGUGCUAAAGAAUACACGAAAUUCUGCGAGGAAGAAGAUGCAGCCCACUAGAAUGUAAUCAGACUUGCAGGCCAAGUAAUCUUGAACCGACUGAUUCUCAGAUGUUUAAGAAUCUUGUUUGACAAGUUCUUGUCAAAAUAUUAUUACAAAACUGCAGGUUCCAAGUUAAAUGUGUUUUCCCUCAUUUCCCUUUCAAGUGCACUAUGUAUCAUCUCUCUAUCUCUAGCCUGCAUUGCUUAUCUUGGACUAUACAAAAGUAGGGGGACUGUACUUGAAGCAAGUCUAACCCCAACAAUUUAUUCAAAUGUCAACUACUAUUAUUAUCUUUUGCACCAGACAAACACCGAUCAAGGGAUGCAAUAAGGACAUAACUACAUGUUUAUUAUACAAAUAGUACAGAAUUUAUAUAGAUGAUGAUGUUGAUGGAAGCUUCUUAAUGUUUGCAAAACAAUUGUCUUCGGGUCUUGUAUGAGGUAAGUACCUCACUUUACAUCCCGGAUUAAGUCGUUCGAGCCUGCAUUCAAGAAGUUCAAUGUCAGAGACUAUUAUUUAUCAUUCAUAUAGUUGCAUAACUUGCAUUUUCAGUGUCAUAGAGAGAGUUAUAUAAUAGUAUGACAAGUACAUUUGGAUGGAAGAAUUGGUUGGAGGAAAAGGAUUACAAGAUACUGGAGACACUGCAUUGCAGAUGACUUAAUAUAUACCAUUAAGAGUGUAAGUGAUUAGGUAAAAUGAAUCAUCUGAAAGUUCAUGGAUAAGUAUCAGUUAUUAGAUUAAUAGUGUCUCCUUCCAAAUGGACCAUUGCAUUUUGCAUUUGGAUAUAUGGAUUUAAAUCAGGCUAGAAUUUUGAAUCUGACAAUUCAACUUAAAAUUGGCCACCUUUGAAAAGCAAGGCACUUACUCAUAAUUCAGGAGAAAGUAGUGAAGAAAUGUAGUAAUUUCAAGCUUGGUCAAAUCACUUCCAGGGCAUUGCCUACUUCCUAUUCCAAAGGGAAUGUAAGUCCCUGCCUUCACUUUACUUUCCUACAAAAAGGAACAGAAAAAAGACAGAUACUUGUUUAACCUCUGAGAUGUAAAAUUUUGCUCAGUCAUACCUGUAAUGCAUGAAAUGAUGAAUACAGUAUACAAAGACAUCUAAUUCUGCGAGUCAUCUAGCUUACGUUCCAUCUUGAGGGAUUGAACUCAUUUGGAUCUUGAUAAAUUUCUGGGUUCAAAUGUAUUCCUCUGAACCAUAUCAUCACUUUCCAUCCCUUUGGUAUUGUGUAACCUUGAACACACAACAUGUCCUAGUAAGUUUCAUCACAAGAAACUGAUAUAACAAUAAAUAGAUAAUAUAGAGAGAUUAAUUGCUUACCAGAGAUGUUAACAUCAGCUGUAGCCUCCCGGUAAGUAUACAGCGAGAUAUUAACCACGCGCAUUGUUUCAUCAAUUACCUUUUCACCAAGCAUUGCUACUUGUUAGUUGUUGAAGUUGAAAUCAGAGGCAUAUGCUUAAGAUCAGGAAUUCAGGAUGCUAAAAAUUUGGCUUACCUUAGAAAGAUAUUCCAUCUGUUUAGUGAUAGACUUUUAAGAAUCUCCUCUUGCUCUGCCUGAAAGGUAAGAUUACAUCAACAUUUAACAAAGUCUCGUCGAUAAAUUCUGAAAGACAACUGCGGUUCACAACUGUUAGGAAGAAUAGCAACUGUAGACAAAUUUAUAGCACACUUCAAAUUAACUUGGUUUCCAAGCAAUUGGUCGCCACACUUAAAUUUCUUUACAGACACAAAACCAGUACUUAACACCACACUCGCGUUUGAAUGCGUGCAUCUAAUUACCAGUACGAGCUAUUGUAAACCUUUUUCAAUCAAUGAAAUUCAAUUUCUACAAAUAGGCACCUACCCACCUUGGCUUUUUGGUAGAAUUCUGGAUUUUGAUGUAAAAAGAGAGUUGCCCACAUUGUGGCAUGGGCUGAAGAUUCAUGACCAGCAUUUAAGUA